Molecule: small RNA, 724 nt
Filed under: Pan troglodytes (chimpanzee)
Lineage: Eukaryota; Metazoa; Chordata; Mammalia; Primates; Hominidae
Description: retained intron
Source: RNAcentral
GCUGCGGAAACGCGGCCGGUCCGGUUCCGCGGCCCAGGCAGCGGGACUCUGCAAGCAAUGGCUGCAGCGCGCCUGGCAAGAGCGGCGCCUGCUGCUGCGGGAGCCGCGCUACACGCUGCUGGUGGCCGCCUGCCUCUGCCUGGCGGAGGUGGGCAUCACCUUCUGGGUCAUUCACAGGGUGGCAUACACAGAGAUUGACUGGAAGGCCUACAUGGCCGAGGUAGAAGGCGUCAUCAAUGGUACCUAUGACUAUACCCAACUGCGGGGUGACACCGGACCACUUGUGUACCCAGCUGGUUUCGUGUACAUCUUUACGGGGUUGUACUAUGCCACCAGCCGAGGCACUGACAUCCGCAUGGCCCAGAACAUCUUUGCUGUGCUCUACCUGGCUACCUUGCUGCUUGUCUUCUUGAUCUAUCACCAGACCUGCAAGGUACCUCCCUUCGUCUUUUUCUUCAUGUGCUGCGCCUCUUACCGUGUCCACUCCAUCUUUGUGCUGCGGCUCUUCAAUGACCCAGUGGCCAUGGUGCUGCUCUUCCUCAGUAUCAACCUCCUGCUGGCCCAGCGCUGGGGCUGGGGCUGCUGCUUUUUCAGGUCAACACCUCUUCCUUCUGGCCCCCUCUCGUUUUCUGCAUUUCCAUCUCUUCCCAUUUUCCUGCAGCAGAGGGAGUAAAGGAGUAGCCAAGACAGCAUGGGUCACUCAGGGCUCCACAAAGCGAGUCCA